Molecule: ribosomal RNA, 459 nt
Filed under: uncultured bacterium
Lineage: Bacteria
Description: partial 16S ribosomal RNA
Rfam family: Bacterial small subunit ribosomal RNA
Source: RNAcentral
CCUACGGGGGGCAGCAGUGAGGAAUAUUGGUCAAUGGCCGCAGGGCUGAACCAGCCAAGUCGCGUGAGGGAUGACGGUCCUAUGGAUUGUAAACCUCUUUUGUCAGGGAGCAAAGGGCGCCACGUGUGGCGCUUUGCGAGUACCUGAAGAAAAAGCAUCGGCUAACUCCGUGCCAGCAGCCGCGGUAAUACGGAGGAUGCGAGCGUUAUCCGGAUUUAUUGGGUUAAAAGGGUGCGCAGGCGGAAUGUCAAGUCAGCGGUAAAAUUUCGGGGCACAACCCCGUCGGGCCGUUGAAACUGGCGUUCUUGAGUGAGCGAGAAGUAUGCGGAAUGCGUGGUGUAGCGGUGAAAUGCAUAGAUAUCACGCAGAACUCCGAUUGCGAAGGCAGCAUACCGGCGCUCAACUGACGCUCAUGCACGAAAGCGUGGGUAUCGAACAGGAUUAGAUACCCGGGUAGUC